GCCUGCCGGGCCUGAUCCUUUGCUCAACCUGUGAUCGUAAACCUUGUAUUACCCUCCUUUGCGGGAGGAGGUGAGCAAAGUUUCAGGUGCGUCAGUCG
Non-coding RNA from Daphnia pulex (common water flea), 98 nucleotides. Lineage: Eukaryota; Metazoa; Arthropoda; Branchiopoda; Diplostraca; Daphniidae. The record is from Rfam.